AGCUCUAUUCAGGAGAAGAGAAUCUUUCCCUGCCUGCUCCAGAGGUUUCUUGUGAAGUCAAGGUGGUGACAGAAUGCCUUGUCUGGGCAAUACACUCAGUCUGCCAGGUAUAGUAUAGACCUCUGACAUCUGGCAGCACGUGUGAUCUCACAGGACACUCUCUCUGUAGCAAAGUUCCAUUUUGUGUCGCCUCCUCAGCCCGGCCUUUGAGUGAGGAUGAUGUGGAACA
Long non-coding RNA from Choloepus didactylus (southern two-toed sloth), 229 nucleotides. RefSeq lists it as uncharacterized. The record is from RefSeq and is a predicted model, not a curated record. The transcript is spliced from 3 exons. NCBI's taxonomy places the organism in Eukaryota, Metazoa, Chordata, Mammalia, Pilosa, Megalonychidae.